This 537-nucleotide small RNA is filed under the name Pongo abelii (Sumatran orangutan). RNAcentral describes it as "retained intron". The record is from RNAcentral. Lineage: Eukaryota; Metazoa; Chordata; Mammalia; Primates; Hominidae.
AGUUCGGCUGGUUCUUCUGUCGCCGGCUUCAGCAGCCCGCGUCCGGGCAGGAAUAGAAGAUGAACAAACCCAUAACAUCAUCAACAUAUGUGCGCUGCCUCAAUGUUGGACUAAUUAGGAAGCUGUCAGAUUUUAUUGAUCCUCAAGAAGGAUGGAAGAAGUUAGCUGUAGCUAUUAAAAAACCAUCUGGUGAUGAUAGAUACAAUCAGUUUCACAUAAGGUAACAGAUAAAAUUCUUUGUAUUUUUAAAUUCUUACAUCACAAUAUGGAAUGAUUAAUUGGUAUAAGUACUGUCUAAUAUGGCAGUUUAGAAAGUAAACCUCUCCACUAUGGAGGAGACAUUGGUAGUAGGUAACCUCUUUUUGAUUGUUCCUUUUGCAGUUUUGUCUUUGUCCAAUAUGUCAAUACGGCUAAUACUGUGAUCUCUCAAAUAAGUUUUUUGGGUUAGAAUGAAGAUUCCCACCUUUUCUGUGGUUCCCUGUUUGGCAAGCAAAGUGAAGUUCACUCUGCCUCACACUUCUCAUUUCCAGAUUAAAG